Molecule: ribosomal RNA, 876 nt
Filed under: uncultured bacterium
Lineage: Bacteria
Description: bacterial SSU rRNA
Rfam family: Bacterial small subunit ribosomal RNA
Source: RNAcentral
GGCUAGAGUUUGAUCAUGGCUCAGGACGAACGCUGGCGGCGCGCCUAACACAUGCAAGUCGAACGGAGUUUGUUGGAUUGAUCCUUCGGGAGAUUGAUAGCAAACUGAGUGGCGGACGGGUGAGUAACACGUGAGCAACCUACCUUUCAGAGGGGGAUAACGUCUGGAAACGGACGCUAAUACCGCAUAACAUAAGAGGAGGGCAUCCUUCUUUUAUCAAAGGAGCAAUCCGCUGAAAGAUGGGCUCGCGUCCGAUUAGGCAGUUGGCGGGGUAACGGCCCACCAAACCGACGAUCGGUAGCCGGACUGAGAGGUUGAACGGCCACAUUGGGACUGAGACACGGCCCAGACUCCUACGGGAGGCAGCAGUGGGGGAUAUUGCACAAUGGGGGAAACCCUGAUGCAGCGACGCCGCGUGAGGGAAGAAGGUUUUCGGAUUGUAAACCUCUGUCUUUAGUGACGAAGAUGACGGUAGCUAAAGAGGAAGCCACGGCUAACUACGUGCCAGCAGCCGCGGUAAUACGUAGGUGGCAAGCGUUGUCCGGAAUUACUGGGUGUAAAGGGAGCGUAGGCGGGAAGACAAGUCGGGUGUCAAAUCUAUCGGCUCAACUGGUAGCAGCACUCGAAACUGCCUUUCUUGAGUGAAGUAGAGGUAAGCGGAAUUCCUAGUGUAGCGGUGAAAUGCGUAAAUAUUAGGAGGAACACCAGUGGCGAAGGCGGCUUACUGGGCUUUAACUGACGCUGAGGCUCGAAAGCAUGGGUAGCAAACAGGAUUAGAUACCCUGGUAGUCCAUGCUGUAAACGAUGAUUACUAGGUGUGGGGGGACUGACCCCUUCCGUGCCGGAGUUAACACAUAAGUAUCCACCCUGGGAGUA